RNAcentral lists this small nuclear RNA (29 nucleotides) under Arabidopsis thaliana (thale cress). RNAcentral's name for it is "snRNA_00137". Lineage: Eukaryota; Viridiplantae; Streptophyta; Magnoliopsida; Brassicales; Brassicaceae. The record is from RNAcentral.
UUGGAGGGUCCUGCUUUCGAGUGGGCCCA